Molecule: long non-coding RNA, 857 nt
Filed under: Citrus x clementina
Lineage: Eukaryota; Viridiplantae; Streptophyta; Magnoliopsida; Sapindales; Rutaceae
Description: Citrus clementina (C. clementina) long non-coding RNA (CCLE_LNC006190)
Source: RNAcentral
CGGAGGCCGCCCGCAGAGUCUGGGGCGAUUCCGAGUCCGGCGGACGAACUUCGCCCACGCCCCCCACCAAGGCAAUAGCCAGCCCGUUUUUUGGCCAUUCUUCCGCUGGGGCGUCUUGGCGCCCCGACCUUCGGGGGCUGAUUUUUGGGCACGGCUGUGCCCGUGGCCUAAUUUUGGCACACGGAGGACGCCCGCAAAGUCUGGGGCCAUUCCGAGUCCGGCGGAUGAAACUUCGCCCACGCCCCCCACCAAGGCUAUAGCCCACCCGUUUUUUGGCCAUUUUUCCGCUGGGGGGUCUUGGCGCCCCGACCUUCGGGGGCUGAUUUUUGCGCGCAGCUGUGCCCGUGGCCUAAUUUAGGCACACGGAGGCCGCCCGCAAAGUCUGGGGACAUUCCGAGUCCGGCGGACGAACUUCGCCCACGCCCCCCACCAAGGCUAUAGCCCACCCGUUUUUUGGCCAUUUUUCCGCUGGGAGGUCUUGGCACCACGACCUUCGGGGGCUGAUUUUUGGGCGCGGCUGUACCCGUGGACUACUUUUGGCACACGGAGGCCGCCCGCAAAGUCUGGGGCCAUUCCGAGUCCGGCGGACGAACGUCGCCCACGCCCCCCACCAAGGCUAUAGCCUACCCGUUUUUUGGCCAUUUUUUCGCUGGGGGGUCUUGGCGCCCCGACCUUCGGGGGCUGAUUUUUGGGCGCAACUGUGCCCGUGGCCUAAUUUUGGCACACGGAGGCCGCCCGCAAAGUCUGGGGCCAUUCCGAGUCCGGCGGACGAACUUCGCCCACGCCCCCCACCAAGGCUAUAGCCCACCCGUUUUUUGGCCAUUUUUCCGCUGGGGGGUCUUGGCGCCCCGACCUUU